AGUACUUUUCAACUGGAAAAUGUUCCGAGAAAACUGAUGUUUUUGGAUACGGAGUCAUGCUUCUUGAACUCAUCACUGGGCAGAGGGCUUUUGAUCCUCAGCUUGCGAGUCAUGAUGACCCCAUGUUAGUUGAUUGGGUAUGCAUUUACAUCUUUCUGUUUGUGUAUGUAGCUAAUUUAUUGUUAUAUGCAAGAUUAUUAUUUCUUGGGAGCAGCCUCUCCAUAAAUGGGGGUAAGGCUAGCCGACAUUCACCUCUUCCAGACCCUGCGUAAAGCGGGAGCCUUGUGCACUGGGUACGACCUUUAUGCAAGAUUAUUAUUUCCCAACAACAUUUGCAUUUCCUUAGUAAUUAGCUUUUAGAAAAUAAGUUUGGUUUAAUUAGCUUUUAUUAGUUAGAGUUGUGAUUAGCUGUGAAGAUUUGUUUAUCUUUAUUUAUAACAAUCUAAGGUUUAAGCUGUCAGAGUUAAUUUUUGCAUUUCCUUAGUAAUUGUUACCAUUCCUGUUUGAUUAAUGUAAAAAUCACUUGUCUUUUUGGCCCGAAUGUUGAAAACAGUAAGAAUCAUGGAUCAAAGAAAAGAAAUAAUACUUAACUUUUAGAAAAUAACUUUAGUUUAAUUGGCUUUUAUUAGUUAGAGUUACGAUUAAGCUGUGAAGAUAUAUUUAUCUUUAUUUAUGACAAUCUAAGGUUUAAAUUGUCAGAGAUUAAUUAUUACAUUUCCUUGGUAAUUGUUGUUAGUAUUGUUGUUGCUUCUUUUGCCAAUGUAUUGGCCUUGCUGUGAUUUCUUGAAGAAUUUGGCAUGUGUUUUGUAUCGAUCCUAAUUUCCUCAUCAUCUCUUUAUUCUCGCUAUCUUGGCCUCUUGCUUCUUUCUAUUCUCUCUAUUUGCAUCUUUGUCAAUUGUUAUAUUUGAAUGACGAUGCAUUUUUGUAAGCUAUUUGAUUUUCUGGAGAUACUGCGGCCCUUCAAAUUUUGAACAUUACAACACAUUUUCACUCUCCUAGGUGCCCUCACCUUUUGUUUCAAAUUGUAGAACUAUCUGACGUUUUCCGUUUUAUUUUAACUAAAACAAUUAGGUCAAAAGACUACUGAAAGAUCGAAGGUUGGAAACACUUGUUGAUGCUGAUCUAAAUGGUAAUUAUGUUGACGAUCAAGUGGAGCAGCUCAUCCAAGUAGCUCUACUGUGCACACAAGGCACCCCAGGGGAACGACCCAAGAUGUCAGAGGUUGUUCGGAUGCUGGAAGGCAAUGGUUUGGCUGAAAGAUGGGAGGAGUGGCAAAAAGAGUAGGUGUUCCACCAAGAUUUCAACCCUAUUCAUCAUCCAAGUACUAAUUGUAUCAUAGACUCAACUUUUCAUAUUCCUCCUGAUGAGUUGUCCGGUCCCAAAUGAUAUGCUCGUUGGUUCUGUCCCCUGUAUACAUCUAAGAAGCCUUCAGAGGACUGGAGAAUGUCCAUUUCGUAUUUCAGUGAUACCACAUUUGUGCUUAUGUUUUGUCUUUGUUUUCAAUUUUGGUUUUGUCUUGCGUAUUUUUUAGAUCAUAAAAUGGAGCUGAUGCUAUUGUAAUUUGGGAUGUGCUAUCCACACAUCACUUUUUACUUCUCACACACCCCUUGUUAAUUUCUGUCCGUUGAUCUUCUUCAAUUCAUCUGAUCCGACGGCCGAAAACCAAAAAGGUGUGGGAGAAGUAAAAAGGGGUGUGUGGAUAUCACACCCCUUGUAAGUUUUAUAGGGUCAACUGGCAUUACGAAGUUAUAUGGUGCUAGCAGGAAUUAGGAAGGGCCAUAAAAGCACUCAUUCCUGAUGAUUUAUGUAUCUAUCUAGAAAUUAGUCUAAAUUGUCGAGUAAAUAAUCAUUCUAAACUUAUAACCAUCUAUAUAUUUUAGUGUUCCUAUAGAUCCUGUAGAUACGAUAAGGACACUAGGUCAAGUGCAUGGCUGGUUGCGGAUGGAUAGUGUUUGAAAUUUCAUUGUGAUCAUUGCAAGUGCGAAUUUGUGGCACCACCUUUAUAAGUACUUGAACUAAGGCAGUAGGGGAUCAGGAGAUCACUUUGUGUCAUUCCAACACAGGAAUUCGAGCUUUGUCUAAUCUCUUUAGAGUAUCGCCAAUGGGGAUCCCUCUACUAUCUUUGAGGAUUUAUUUAGGACUAGCUGUAGGGUAAGACCUAAACCUAAAUAUUUGAGUUUAAACAAAAUAAAAAUGCAAUCUAAUUGUGGGACUUUUUUGUUUUUUAUGAACAAAAAAAUAUUAUCUGGAUUGAGUUAAGCCUUAUAGUGGGCUAGUAAUGACCUCUCUUACAUGUGAAGAGGAAUACUAUUAAACCGUAGUACUAGGUAAUAUCUAAUGGUUGGACUUAAACCUAAAAGGUUUGGCUUUUGACCAAGCUAAACCCAAAUUUGGGUUUGUAUUUGGCUGACCCAAAUUUUUGGGGGCCCUACCUUUUUUUCUGAAAAGCAACGGGCCAAUGAUUUAUUGAAGUGGCCGCGGCAUAUGGGUUAGGGGUGGUUCGGUAUGGGAUCCCAUACCAAAACACUUGUCCCGAUUCUCAAACCGAAAUUUUCGGGAAUCCCAAUUUCAAUACCGAUCCCAAACCAAAUUUUCGGGAAUCCCAAUUUUUGGGAAUCCCAAAAUAGUUUCGGGAUUUCGGGACAAAUCGGGAAUCCCGAAAUGGUUUUGGGCUUUUGGGCUUUUAGACUAAAAUUUGACAUAUUAUGCUUUUAGGCCCAAUCUGCCAAUUUGUUUCUACAAAUCUGCCAAUCAAAUCUGCCAAUCAAAUGGCAAGGCUUGUUUCUACUAAUCUCUACUUAAUAUUAAUACUAACACUUAGUUUUCAUUUCGAUGCAGAGAGUGAUGGAUCAACUGCAAAAUAGUGAAAGAAAACUAAGAAGCUCAAAACUGUACACAAAAACCAAAAUCAAGCAAAACGAAGAAGCUCAAAACUGAACAUUGCAAAGUAAACGCCAGAAACUGAGCACAGAAACUGAGCAAGCAUGCCAAGAAUCAAAGCAAACCCCACAAGAGUCAAGAAAUGAUAAUUGAGUCAUUCGAAGAGUACCCAGACAAGUUCUGUGCACAAAUUUGACAAUAUGGCUAGCAAAUAGCAAGCAAACAACAAAUAAUUAACAAGAACUAGUAACAGUGAGCAGAAUCAUAAGGUCUGAUUAGCUCACCUUCAUCAAGCACAAUUCCGACGUUCAAUCCCUUGAAAACAUCAGAUUCAGCCAGCUUCUCAGCACCGUCGUGUCCCCCAAUCUCCUCAUCAGGACCAUAUGACAAAUAAACAGACCUUUUGGGCUUAAACCCAGAAGCCUUGAGCCGUCGAAUCGCCUCCAAGUACUGAAUCCCGACGCACUUCAUGUCCUGGGACCCCCUGGCGUAAACGUCGCCGUUCGAGUCCAAGUUGGCCGAGAAAGGGGGGGUGUAACCACUUGUCGUGCUCGGCCGGAACGAUGUCGGUGUGGGAAUUGAGAAGAACAGAGGAGAGAGAGAUGAGAUGAGGGCUUGUCGGCUAGAUGAGGGAGAGAUCAGAGAUGAGAGAUUAGGGCUCGGCUAUUCGAUUUGAUAGAAACAAUGGAACGAAAGUGAAGUUUGUGAAAUGGUAUUCUGACCUAAAAACAUAUGAACGGCAAAGAUUAAAUCCAAAACAAUGAACGGUUGAAAUAAUUCUUUUAUAAUUAAAAGAAAAAAAAAAAAUAUAUAUAUAUAUAAUAUUUAUUUUCGAUUCGGUCUGGGAAUACCGAAAAUUUGAGAUUCAAAACCGAAUCCCAUACCGAAAAUAUCGGUUUGGUUCGGGAUUACAUACCGAAAAUUUCGGGAUUUUUGGUUUGGGAUUUUUUUGGUUUGAGAUCGGGAUUUUUUUGGUUUGGUUUGGGAUUUUUGGGAUUUUUUUCCGGGUUCCUCAUGCCAGCUGCAAAACAAUUUCAGGAAUCAGCUAAAAAGUCAAAAAUAAAUAUAAAUAAAAGAAGAAACGGAACUUCCAACGCGGUGGGCUGCGACUUUGCCUGAUUCUGCUAUUUAUUUUAACGAAAAAUCAUAUUUUUACAUUAAAAAGUCAAUCAUGAUACUUUACCUUUUAUUUUAUUAUUAUCGUUAAAACUCAAAUUUUUCAAACUAUUUUCAUUAAUUUUUCUUUAAAAUAAUUUAUAAUGCAUAAAACCAGAAAUCUCAUUUUGAGUGAGAAGUUGCAUAAACAAUGUCAGGAAUCCGCUGAAAAGUAAAAAAUAAAUAUAAACAAAAGAAGAAACGAAACUUCCGACGCGGUGGGCUGCGACUUAGACUGAUUGAGAGUCAUGUAUCCGCAGCUCCUCCGUCUUCCUCCCAAACCUUUUACCUUUUCUUUCUUUCUUCUCCAAAACUAGCAAUCUGAGAUUUCAACCUCUCUCUCUAAGAAGCAGCGGCAUGCUUUUCCAAACGCAAUCUGCAAUUUAAUCAAACAGCCACCGAAUUUUCUGGAAUCCGGUCAACGCAGCGAUGCUCCGGAUUUUGAUCGGUCAACGCCAGCUGCUUACCUGAGCUCCAAAAGACCCAACAGUGAUGACGUCUUCCACCUCUGUUUCUGUUUGGCUGAUUCUGCUGUUUGGCUUCUUUCACCUCCACAAGCUUGCAGCCAAUGUCGAGGGUAUGUCUCUGUGUGUUAUUGAAUUUGGGAGUGUUUGGUUGUGGGAACUGGAAUGAACUAAUGAAUGAAUGAAUGACUGGAAACAUUCCCGAAGAGCUUGGGGGUUUGUCAGACUUGGUGAGCUUGGAUCUUUACUUGGCAACCUUGCAAAACUGCGUUUCCUGUAUGAACCCCCAUCCUUUUGUUAGAUAAAAUCUAUCGUCAUUCUUUUUUAUUCGAUAUGCUAAUCUGCUGUUUUUAAUUGUUCCAUUGGAGUGACUUUCUUCCUUAAAGUCCUUGUGCCGGAUGCAUAUAAUUUAUAGUAUGAUCCCUGGUUUCAAGAUUCAGUCAUUGCAAGUCCUGUGAGUUUCAUACACUUUCAUCUCAGUAAGAGGGAGGAGAGAGUGAAAAGUUACUAAUUUCUCUGCCAUCAGAGAAUGCAAAUAACAUAUAGUUUUGCCAUGGAAUGCAGGGAUCUUUCAAAUAACAAUCUGACAGGGGAUAUUCCAGUUAAUGGAUCGUUUUCACUUUUUACUCCCAUCAGGUUUGUUGAAGCAACUGUACUCUUUUUCUUUAACUUUAGGGACAAAAAUAACAAUCUGACAGGGGAUACACUUUCAUCUCAGUAAGAGGGAGGAGAGGGUAAUAUAGCUUGAUCAAGUUGGUGUUGUAGUUGUUGUAUGGGAUGCAGGUUUCACUCAUCUACUGUCUUUGCAGCUGAGAAGGAUCCACAAGUUCAUUCACGACAGCUCAAAAACUUUUCUUUGCGCGAGCUACAAGUUGCAACAGAUACCUUUAGCGACAAAAAUAUUAUUGGUAGAGGUGGAUUUGGUAAGGUUUAUAGAGGACGCUUAGCUGAUGGAACUCUGGUUGCUGUAAAAAGACUUACAGAGGAGAGAACCCAAGACGGGGAACUACAGUUUCAAACAGAAGUUGAAAUGAUUAGAAUGGCUGUCCACCACCGCAAUCUGCUUUGUCUCCAUGGUUUUUGCAUGACACCAACAGAAAGGCUGCUUGUAUAUCCUUAUAUGGCUAAUGGAAGUGUGGCAUCUUGUUUAAGAGGUACUCAUCUAAAUUGUUUGCUGCGUUGAUGAAUCUUUUUGUUUUCACGACGUUAAAUUUUUUUUCGAUCACAUUGAUAUAAUGAAUUUAAAAACCUGACCAAUUUGGCUUGGAGUAUCAACACUAAUUUUUUUAAUGUUUUGUUUCCUUCAAUUUUAAUUUACCUUCUCGAUGCUGAUUUUAUUUCUGUUUAAUUUGAAAAGGAUGACAAGAAGACCCUUUUUUUGGGUAGGACGGGUGGUAUGAUAUGUGUUAGACCACAUUACCUGUUGCUUGUAAUUUGAAAUUCUCCUCUCAUAAGUAUGUGGAUAUAUUAUUGUAGGUCGUCCGGAAGGACAACCUGCACUUGAUUGGCCAAUAAGACAACGCAUUGCAUUGGGAUCUGCAAGAGGCCUUGCUUAUUUACAUGAUCACUGUGAUCCAAAAAUUAUUCACCGUGAUGUGAAAGCAGCAAACAUAUUGUUGGAUGAGGAAUUCGAAGCAGUUGUUGGAGACUUUGGGUUGGCUAAACUCAUGGACUACAAGGAUACAUAUGUUACCACACAUGUAUGUGGCACAUUUGGUCAUAUGGCACCGGAGCACUUUUCAACUGGAGUGUCUUCCGAGAAAACUGAUGUUUUUGGAUACGGAGUCAUGCUUCUUGAACUCAUCACUGGGCAGAGGGCUUUCAAUCCUCAUCUUGCGAGUGAUGAUGAUGUCAUGUUAGUUGAUUGGGUAUGCAUUUACGUCUUUCUGUUUGUGUAUGUAGCUAGUUCAUUGUUAUAUGCAAGAUUAUUUCCCAACAACAUUUGCAUUUCCUUAGUAAUUAGCUUUUAGAAAAUAAGUUUGGUUUAAUUAGCUUUUGUUAGUUAGAGUUAUGAUUAGCUGUGUAGAUUUGUUUAUCUUUAUUUAUAACAAUCUAAGGUUUAAACUGUCAGAGAUUAAUUAUUGCAUUUCCUUAGUAAUUGUUACUAUUGUUGUUGCUUCUUUUGCCAAUGUAUUGGCAUUUUGUGAUUUCUUGAAGAAUUUGGCAUAUGUUUUGUGUCGAUCGUAAUUUCCUCAUCAUCUCCUUAUUCUCGCUAUCGUGGCCUCUUGCUUUUUCCUAUUCUCUCUAUUGCAUCUUUGUCUUCUCUUUGCAUGAUAUCAAUAUUUGAAUGACGAAACAUUUUUGUAAGCAGUUCGAUUUUCUGUAGAAAACUGCGGUCCUUCAAAUUUUGAACAUUACAACACGUUUUUGUUCUCCUAGGUUCCCGCACCUUUUGUUUCAAAUUGUAGAACCACCCGACAUUUUCUGUUUUAUUUUUCCUAAAAAAAUUAGGUCAAACGACUACUGAAAGAACGGAGGUUGGAAAGACUUGUUGAUGCUGAUCUAAAUGGAAAUUAUAUUGACGAUCAAGUGGAGCAGCUGAUCCAAGUAGCUCUACUGUGCACACAAGGCUCCCCAGGGGAACGGCCCAAGAUGUCAGAGGUUGUCCGAAUGCUUGAAGGCGAAGGCGAAGGUUUGGCUGAAAGAUGGGAGGAGCGGCAAAACGAGGAGGUGAUCUGCCAAGAUUUCAACACUAUUCAUCAUCCAAGUACUUGGAUCAUAGACUCACCCUCUCCUAAUUUUGUGUUGUACUAUUUCUUUGAGUUUGAAGAAAUGGAUAAAAAGAAUGACAUGUGAUAGAGAGUUCAUCAUAUAACUUCUGACUUUAAGGAUUUUUCAUUUAGUUCUGGUUCAUGUUGCGCAAAUAAUAUUAGGUAACACUGCUACUGGGGCUAUUGCUGGAGGGGUUGCUGUUGGUGCUGCUUUAACGUUUGCUGCAACUGCAAAUACACUUGCUUAUUGGCGACGGAGAAAACCACAGGAUCAUUUCUUUGAUGUACCUGGUUAGUGAACUAUAGGAGUAAUAUAGCUUGAUAAAGGUGGUGUUUUAGUAUGGGAUGCAGGUUUCACUAAUCUACUGUCUUUGCAGCUGAGGAGGAUCCAGAAGUUCUUUUAGGACAGCUCAAAAGGUUUUCUUUGCGCAAACUACAAGUUGCAACGGAUAACUUUAGUAACAAAAAUAUUCUUGGUAGAGGUGGAUUUGGUAAGGUUUAUAAAGGACGCUUAGCUGAUGGAACUCUGGUUGCUGUAAAAAGACUUAAAGAGGCGAGAACCCAAGGUGGGGAGCUGCAGUUUCAAACAGAGGUUGAAAUGAUUAGCAUGGCUGUCCACCGCAAUCUGCUUCGUCUGCAUGGUUUUUGCAUGACACCAACAGAAAGGCUGCUUGUAUAUCCUUAUAUGGCUAAUGGAAGUGUGGCAUCAUGUAUAAGAGGUACUCUUCUAAAUUGUUUGCUGCGUUGAUGAAUCUUUUUGUUUACACAUGGGUAAAUUGCAUUUUACACCCUCAGGUUUGAGUGUAAUUGCAACCUCAUACAACAUUUUAAAACAUUUCAAUUUUAUUUAUUUACUUAUCAUUUUUAGCAAUUUCAUACAUCUGAUAGUCAAACCGUCAGUUUGACUGUUAAGGGAUGACAUGGCAAAUGUGAGGUCUACAUUUUGUUGACGGGGAUGCCAACUAUGAUUCACGUGGAAUAAAAACAAAUAAAAAGGAUUAAUAAAUAGAAAAUUAAUUUUUUUUUAAUUUAAAACUAAAAAAAUAGAAAAGAUUAAAAAAAAAAAAUGGUGUUGUUCAUCCCUAUCCUGCUCUCACCCCGUCCCCGCAUUCUUCAUUUCCCCCCGCCCACCAUCGCCACCUUCCCUUUCCUCAGCCACUGCAAUGAAUAGACCACAUUACCUGUUGCUUGUAAUUUGAAAUUCUCCUCUCAUAAGUAUGUGGAUAUAUUAUUGUAGAUCGUCCCGAAGGACAACCUGCACUUGAUUGGCCAAUAAGACAACGCAUUGCAUUGGAAUCUGCCAGAGGCCUUGCUUAUUUACAUGAUCACUGUGAUCCAAAAAUUAUUCACCGUGAUGUGAAAGCAGCAAACAUAUUGUUGGAUGAGGAAUUCAAAGCAGUUGUUGGAGACUUUGGGUUGGCUAAACUCAUGGACUACAGGGAUACACAUGUUACCACAGCUGUACGUGGCACAAUUGGUCAUAUAGCACCAGAGUACCUUUCAACUGGAAAAUGUUCCGAGAAAACUGAUGUUUUUGCAUACGGAGUCAUGCUUCUUGAACUCAUCACUGGGCAGAGGGCUUUUGAACUUGCUCGGCUUGCGACCAAUGAUGAUGUCAUGUUACUUGAUUGGGUAUGCUUAUACGUGUUUCUGUUUCUGUUUGUUGCUAAUUUUCUGUUUUCCUUAAUAUGUUUCAUAUUUUAUUAAAAAAAAAAGACAUAAUGUUGUUGAAAUUCAACGAUCUAUUGUGUCUCUUUGUCCAAAUCUUGGAAAUUAUGUUUCAAUACUCAUUUUUAAAGAAAUGUUAUAUAAUAUAGUGUGAAUUAGGUGUAUCUCUCGAUACCAAUGUUGCUAUUUAUUUAAGCCAAAAAUAAUGGGUCUCGACACCUAAUCACUUUAUUUCAAACCGCUAAUCUCAUAUGACAUUCUUAAUCAUUGUAUAUGGAACAUUUAAAAAC
RNAcentral lists this long non-coding RNA (9168 nucleotides) under Malus domestica (apple). Its description in RNAcentral is "long non-coding RNA (MDOM_LNC015880)". The record is from RNAcentral. Lineage: Eukaryota; Viridiplantae; Streptophyta; Magnoliopsida; Rosales; Rosaceae.